ACAGCAGUCGCCGCGGGAAUACAGAGGGUGCGAGCGUUAAUCGGAUUUACUGGGCGUAAAGCGUGCGUAGGCGGCUAAUUGAGUCGGAUGUGAAAUCCCCGAGCUUAACUUGGGAAUUGCAUUCGAUACUGGUUAGCUAGAGUGUGGGAGAGGAUGGUAGAAUUCCAGGUGUAGCGGUGAAAUGCGUAGAGAUCUGGAGGAAUACCGAUGGCGAAGGCAGCCAUCUGGCCUAACACUGACGCUGAGGUACGAAAGCAUGGGGAGCAAACAGGAUUAGAUACCCCCGUAGUCCCUGUCUCUUAUAC
Molecule: ribosomal RNA, 305 nt
Filed under: uncultured bacterium
Lineage: Bacteria
Description: partial 16S ribosomal RNA
Rfam family: Bacterial small subunit ribosomal RNA
Source: RNAcentral